GCCCCCGUAGCUCAGUUGGAUAGAGCACCGGCCUCCGGAGCCGGGAGCAUCGGUUCAAGUCCGGUCGGGGGUACCA
Molecule: transfer RNA, 76 nt
Filed under: Candidatus Fermentibacterota bacterium
Lineage: Bacteria; Pseudomonadati; Candidatus Fermentibacterota
Description: tRNA-Arg
Rfam family: tRNA
About the family: Transfer RNA (tRNA) molecules are approximately 80 nucleotides in length.
Source: RNAcentral